GAUGAACGCUGGCGGCGUGCCUAAUACAUGCAAGUCGAGCGAACACACGAGGAGCUUGUUCCUUUAACGUUAGCGGCUGACGGGUGAGUAACACGUGGAUAACCUUCCUAUAAGACUUGGAUAAUUUCGGGAAACCAGUGCUACUACCGCCUCAUAUAUCGAACCGCAUGGUUCAGUAGUGCAACAGGCUUUUGCUGACUCUUAUAGAUGAUUCCGCGCCGCAUUAGCUAGUUGGUAAGGUAACGGCCUACCAAGGCGACGUUGCGUAGCCGACCUGAGAGGGUGAUCGGCCACACUGGAACUGAGACACGGUCCAGACUCCUACGGGAGGCAGCAGUAGGGAAUCUUCCGCAAUGGGCGAAAGCCUGACGGAGCAACACCGCGUGAGUGAUGAAGGUCUUCGGAUCGUAAAGCCCUGUUAUUAGGGAAGAACAACUGUGUAAGAAACUAUGCCCGUCUUGACGGUACCUAAUCAGAAAGCCACGGCUAACUACGUG
This 497-nucleotide ribosomal RNA is filed under the name uncultured bacterium. RNAcentral's name for it is "partial 16S ribosomal RNA". It matches the Rfam family "Bacterial small subunit ribosomal RNA", at positions 28 to 507 of the family's 1533-position model. The record is from RNAcentral.